RNAcentral lists this small RNA (1715 nucleotides) under Rattus norvegicus (Norway rat). RNAcentral's name for it is "uncharacterized LOC108352292". Lineage: Eukaryota; Metazoa; Chordata; Mammalia; Rodentia; Muridae. The record is from RNAcentral.
AACCUUAAGCUCUCAGUGUCGGCAGUAUGAACACAAACCAGAACACACUAAACUUUUCCCGAGGCAGAGUCCAGUCGACGACUUUAUGACAAUCUUCCUGGAUGGAGUUUGCCUAAUACCUUCCAGUUGGUCAUGAGACAGUCAGGGGACUGAAAAUGUGUCACUUGAUUAAGUUUUUCAGGCUGAUAACAAGAAGGCUACUGUGUUAUGACAAAUUUGCUACCUUCUAUAACCGAGCAACGUGUUGAAUCUUGGGGAAUACUACAAAAUAUGGAUCAACAUGUGUGGUGAUGUAUCUGAUGGUUUCUGCAAGUCAGAGUUGCUUUUGAAUGAGCCCUAGUAUAGGAUCCAUUUCACUUUGGCUCUAGGACACACACAGCAGACCCCCCUUGUCCGCUGGCUCUUACAAUCUCUACGACUCUCUUUCAAGAUUAUCCCUGAGCCCUGGGUACAUGGAGUGUGUUGCAGGUGUAUUCACACCACCACAAAAUAGACACUCUACUUGGUGAGGGCUGAGAGCUUCAUUAUCUGUGGGUAUAAGGUGAGUAUGUCGAAUGUAGUUAGGAAUAAUGCUGGCAAACUAAAUUACUAGUAGUUGGGUCUUUCCUAAGAUGCACGAUCUAACUCACUCUGGUAUUUGCCUAGGUUUUCAGUAUCAGGCAUGCUCCCCGUCCCCAAUUAGUGGGCCUUAGCCCAGUUAGAGAGUGGUUGGUUACACCAAAAUAUGAGUGCCACUCAUAUUUAUGAAUAUUUUACCAUGAUGUUCAUCAUUGUGUUUCAUAGGUGUCGUACCUGUGUACAUCUAUUGACUGCUUUUCUCCUUUAGCAGUUUUUAUAGCAUCUUUCUGGAACCAUACAAAGUAGUCCUCAGGGAAGAGGUUUUCAAAUUAGAUGCAAUUUAGAUCGUUUGAGUCCUGUCUGAGUACACGGUGUCUCCAAUAACAGAGAUGUAUCUUCAGCUUCUGGUAGGGAACAGCCACAGCACUUACUAUUUUGGUAAUCUCUUGAACUCUCCUGACAACUCAAAGGGGAGAAUCUUAUCCUUGGUAAAGGGGGUUUGGUCAGAUGGUCAAUGGGUCUUGAGGGAAGUACUGGCAGCCCAAGUUAACAUUGAUAAAUGAGAAAUAGAUAAUUAGAUGAUUAGAUAGAUGAUAGAUACAUGAUAGAGUAUGUGCAUGAUAUAUAGAUGCUUACAUGUAUUAUAUGUAAUUUUAGGUAUAUAUAAUAUGAUUCAUUAUGUGUUUGAAACAUCUGCAUUUUUAUUUUUCCCUUCUCCUUUCUUCUCUGCCUGACCAUCCAUGUCUCUUCCAUUAAAGACCCCUUCUUCUUAUUUUCCCAUUUCCUCUUUCUAUCACUUUUAUCCUGCUAUUUCCCUUCUCUAAAGAUCCCCCACCAAAUGCGCUAUGCAGCCCCAUGUGGGGCUAGGACCCACAGUGUAGGAAGUGUGGCUACAGAUGAUUUGAAGGAUGUGGGAGGAUGUGAAUUGGCUAUAUCCAAGUAGCAUGCCUUCUAAAAAGUCCCUGGAGCACCUGAGGACUCCGAUUUCCAUGGGAAAGGUAAGAAAGGUAUCCAAGGACCAAAAUCCCAUGGAUACAUAGUAGUGAUUAUAAAUAAUAUAGUUAAUGUUCCUCUCUUUUUCUAAACUACCUAAGAAAAUAUGGCUUUAUUUACUUAACAUAGGAAAAUAUGGUUAACAUAUAUUAUUCGAUUAUGAA